CCCGGUGAUUGGAGCGCCGUCGAACUACCCCUUUCCAUUCCGAACAGGGUCGUCAAAGGCGGUAGCGGGAACGAUAGUUGUUCCGCGAGGAACUGCGAAAAUACCUCAUCGCCGGGG
This 117-nucleotide ribosomal RNA is filed under the name Candidatus Shapirobacteria bacterium CG_4_9_14_3_um_filter_39_13. Lineage: Bacteria; Candidatus Shapironibacteriota. The record is from RNAcentral. RNAcentral also lists the same sequence under 2 other names.